GAAGGAGGCCUGCAGGGGAGGCAAACACAGACACUCCUGGCACCGGAGGAAACACCGAGUCACUCGCACGCCUGUGAGGGGUCCUGGCUAUGUAUAGCUGCGAGUACUUCGGGAGGGGAGGUGGCCACAGUAUCCACUUCCUCAGAUAAUACCCUCCUCGUGGGAAGGCACAGCCUGAAGGAUGGUAAACAUUAAGUCAAUAUUCCAAGGUAAAACCUCUUUCAGUGUCAUUCGCAGGCAGCAGACGGCUCCAACAGCUCCAGGCUUACUCCCACCACAGCAGAAGCCUCAUCCCACUAGUUCCUGCACAGUUUCCAGUGCUGAUCGAGCCUUCCUGAGCCACACGUCCACUUCCGAUGCAAGUGAUACACAGAUACAGUCUGGUCCUGAGAUACACGACUCUCAUGAGCCCAAGGUCACAAGGACUGAGUUAGCUAUGGGUGAAUCCGAGGAAAAAGCCAGGUGCUGCUACCAGAAGAAACAAGAGAUGUCCACCGUACGCCAUCACUGGUCAUAUUAA
This 520-nucleotide long non-coding RNA is filed under the name Mustela putorius furo (domestic ferret). RNAcentral describes it as "lncRNA (ENSMPUG00000030530.1)". The record is from RNAcentral. Lineage: Eukaryota; Metazoa; Chordata; Mammalia; Carnivora; Mustelidae.